UAGUGGAGGUUCCAAGGACAUUGAAGUCAAUCCAGAGAGUGAGGGAAUCCAGAAGGUUGAGGUUGAAGAGAGUAGAAAUUGCAACCAAAAUCGGUGAGGAUGGUGGAAUCGAAAUUGCGAGGGAAGAAGAAAAGAGCAUCACAGGUCGAAGUAGAGGAGGAAUCAACACUGGUUAAACUGGUUUUGGUUGUACGAACAAAGAAGAAUUAGGGUUUGAGAAGAGAAAGGGAAAAUGGAGUGUACGAACAAAGAAGAAGAAGAUGGAGAUUGGAUGCGCGACUAAGAGAAGAAGAUGGAGAUUGGAUGCGCGACUAAGAGAAGAAGAUGGAGAUUGGAUUCGCGACUAAGAGAAGAAGAUGGAGAUUGGAUGCGCGACUAAGAGAAGAAGAUGGAGAUUGGAUCCGCGACUAAGAGAAGAAGAUGGAGAUUGGAUGCGCGACUAAGAGAAGAAGAUGGAGAUUGGAUCCGUGACUAAGAGAAGAAGAUGGAGAUGGAUCAGCAAAAUGGGUAUGAUAGGGUUUCUUCCUUACAGAAACGGAAAUUGAGAGAUAGGCCAAAGAAGACAAGAGAGCAAGAGAGAAGGGGGGAGGAGAGGGAGACUUGGC
This 605-nucleotide long non-coding RNA is filed under the name Cucumis sativus (cucumber). RNAcentral describes it as "long non-coding RNA (CSAT_LNC001953)". Lineage: Eukaryota; Viridiplantae; Streptophyta; Magnoliopsida; Cucurbitales; Cucurbitaceae. The record is from RNAcentral.